This 497-nucleotide ribosomal RNA is filed under the name uncultured bacterium. Its description in RNAcentral is "partial 16S ribosomal RNA". It matches the Rfam family "Bacterial small subunit ribosomal RNA", at positions 28 to 507 of the family's 1533-position model. The record is from RNAcentral.
GAUGAACGCUGGCGGCGUGCCUAAUACAUGCAAGUCGAGCGAACAGAUAAGGAGCUUGCUCCUUUGACGUUAGCGGCGGACGGGUGAGUAACACGUGGGUAACCUACCUAUAAGACUGGAAUAACUCCGGGAAACCGGGGCUAAUGCCGGAUAACAUUUAGAACCGCAUGGUUCUAAAGUGAAAGAUGGUUUUGCUAUCACUUAUAGAUGGACCCGCGCCGUAUUAGCUAGUUGGUAAGGUAACGGCUUACCAAGGCAACGAUACGUAGCCGACCUGAGAGGGUGAUCGGCCACACUAGAACUGAGACACGGUCCAGACUCCUACGGGAGGCAGCAGUAGGGAAUCUUCCGCAGUGGGCGAAAGCCUGACGGAGCAACGCCGCGUGAGUGAUGAAGGUCUUCGGAUCGUAAAACUCUGUUAUUAGGGAAGAACAAAUGUGUAAGUAACUGUGCACGUCUUGACGGUACCUAAUCAGAAAGCCACGGCUAACUACGUG